RNAcentral lists this transfer RNA (66 nucleotides) under Spinactinospora alkalitolerans. Its description in RNAcentral is "tRNA-Arg". Lineage: Bacteria; Bacillati; Actinomycetota; Actinomycetes; Streptosporangiales; Nocardiopsidaceae. The record is from RNAcentral.
GGCGAACGGGGUGUGAUCGCUCUCCUAAAGCGGGUGUCGCAGGUUCGAAUCCUGCUGGGGCCACCA